Long non-coding RNA from Gossypium raimondii (Peruvian cotton), 1321 nucleotides. RefSeq lists it as uncharacterized. NCBI's taxonomy places the organism in Eukaryota, Viridiplantae, Streptophyta, Magnoliopsida, Malvales, Malvaceae. The transcript has 2 exons. The record is from RefSeq and is a predicted model, not a curated record.
UACAUUUCCAAGUGUUCUUAUUUUCCAACUUGUUCCUUUUGUCUUUCAAGUUCAUCAAAGUCCUUUUUUUUUUAUAAGUUUUUAUUUCAUUAUCUAUCAUUGCUUGAAUUUUCUCUACUUUUGCCCGUGUCGUGUUUUCUUUGCAUCAACGGUAGGUCUAUUGACAAAGUCUAACAAAGGAAAGGAGAAGAAUUAAAAGGAUGAUAUCUCCACCAUCAAUGUAACAACUCGAUUUUUAGUGGUGUCGGAAACAAUGGUUCGAGACCACCAAAUCCAACAAAUCAAAAUCCCGUAGAUAUUCGUGAAAAAAGAAAAUUAGCGGAAUAAUCUCUGAACUCCUGCAAAUAUUACAAUUUAACCCAGGUAAGUUUGUAUGGUUAAACUUUAAUAUUUAUAUUAAAUUGAUGAUUGGUAAUAUAUAUGUUAUGUUGUUGGAAUUGAAUUGUCGUUGGAAAAAUAUUAUCGAAAUUAAUACUCAGUUUGGAUUGAACGCGAGAUUUGAGUACAUUUGUGAUUUGGCGAAUUGACAAAAUUGGAGGAAAAUGACAACAAAUUACCCAAGUAAAUCAAGGUUCAGUAUUUUUUUUCGAACUCUCAUGUUUUACUUUCCGUUUAGCUCUUACGAGCUUCUGUUUAACUCAUAUGAGUUUCCGUUUAGCUCUUUUGAGCUUCUGUUCAGCUCUUAUGAGCUUCCGUUUAACUCAUAUGAGUUUCCAUUCAGCUCUUACAAGCUUCUGUUCAACUCUUAUGGGUUUCUAUUUAGCUCUUACGAAAUUCUGUUCAGCCUUUGGGCUUCUGAAAAUGAUAUACUCUUAUCCGUAAGCCGUUCUCCGAUUUGGGAAGAUUUGGUAAGUGACUAUGUAAUUGAAAUUAAAAGACAUAUUGGUUGUUAUUGGUAUUGACUUAAAAUAAGUGCAUUCAUCGAUUGAAGUUGUGAUUGGCAGGGAGUUUACAUUAAAUGAAUUUAUUUAAUUAAUGUGUUAUAGUAGGUUCAGUAAGAUUUAUGUUUAACCCAUCGAACUUACUAAGCUUCAUUAAGCUUACUUGUGUGAUUUAAUGUCUUUGUAGAUUUUCGUGAGGUUAGAAGAUCGGAUCAGCACAUCAAGUUACACUAUCUAGUCUAUUCCGGUAGUUUUUGUACGUUCAAUACAGUUUAUAUGGCAUGUAUAGGGUUUGUGUGGAUUUAAUCAAAGUUUGUCUUGUGUAAAUAUUAAUAAUUAUAAUUUUGCUUAUAUAUGCACGUAGGGUUGGAAAUGAGACAUAUUUGUGAUGUUGAUGUGAAUACUAUAGGUUUAUUAUAUUCAAUUUGUGGUUAACUUUA